CAAAACCAAGCAGAAGCGCUCAGAAGCACCCUUGUCAGAACACUGGGAGAGAGACGUUGACAGCCACCAACCGAAUGCUGAACAAAGGCGGAGGAAACUGGAAAAUGGUAGGAAAGCCUUGUUGUAUUUUCACCCGCUCCUGCCCGGUCCCCUUCCUGGCCUGGCAGCCCCAUUCCCAGUGUGGGAGCAGGGUCCCCGGCUCAGGACGGUGCACGGCCGACCUCACUUGCCAAUUAUUAGGUAUGUCCACUCUCGCCUAUCUAGGGCCUCUCCAGAGGGCUGACACAAGACCGUUUGCCUGACUCAGAACGCAGGCCAGAAAAGCAGGGUGCCCUGCUGGGAGAAAAAGCAGCAAGGGAGGUCACCACCCAUAGGUGCUGGUGGCACAGACGCCAGGGGCAGAUUUCCCGUAAGCCGCCAAAGGCCUAGAGGAAAGCUGGGGGAGGUUCUUCAGGGGAAUUAGGACAUCCAGAAGCACCCUCGUGUAAAGGGGAAUUUGGAAAGCCACACGCAUGAUCAGGGCAAGACACACGCUCCGAGUAGAGCAGGGAAACCCUGAGUUUUCCCCUUGGCCUGGUCCCUGGGCUUCGUGUAAGCCUGUAAGUGUGGAAACAGCAACAACGUCCCUCUCUAGUGAUGCUUAGGAUUUUUUUGUCCUUAGUCUGUUUCCUAAUUCAGCUAAAAUAUUUAGCUGAAUCCAAAAUUAAAUCCACAAAACAAGUGUCUAUAUUAAAAGAAAUCUAGCUUCUAUCUCUGUACUUCCUACCACAUGUCCUCCUUGUUUUAACCACUUUUUCCAAAAAAAAAUGUCGUUUAUCUUACCAUAUAGGUUUGUUGUCAGUUUCUCCAUUUCCAACCCAGAGGACACAAUGCAUGCUUUUCUCCAUCUUUCUUCUUUUCGUUCUAUAAUACUUCUUUGAAAUAAUUCCAUAGUAGUAGAUCCGUAUUGAUAGCUGUAUGGUACUCCAUUGGGUACCACAAUUUAUUCUAAUCCGCCCCCCAUAGAAGAAUAUUGGAAUUGUUUUUCCGUCUGUUUUUUACUAUAAAAUAUCCUGCAGUGAUAUCAGUUUGUUGAUUGUAACCAAUGUGCAAUAAAAGCCAUUGAUAAAGGGAAGAGAGUGUGAAGCCCUUGGGACCCAUCUGUACUGUCUUUGCAAUUCUGCAAAUCUAAAUCUGUUAGCACAUUUUUAAAGUUUCUUUAAAAAUAAGAAAAAUAGGAGUUCCCGUGGAGGUGCAGCAGAAACGAAUCCGAUUAGGAAUGAGGAGGUUUCGGGUUCGAUCCCUGGCCUCGCUCAGUGGGAUAAAGAUCUGGUGUUGCUGUGAGCUGUGGUGUAGGUCACAGAUGUGGCUCAUAUCCCUCGGUGCUGUGGCUUUGGCAUAGGCCAUUAGCUAUAGCUCCGAUUCAACCCCUAGAGAACUUCCAUACGCCUCGGGUGUGGCCCUAAAAAGACAAAAUUAAAAACAAACAAACAAACAAAAAGCAGAUGACAUUAAUGGCGUCUUUUUUCAGGUCACUGAAGUGAACACUUCUUGCAUAUAAUGUGUUAUUUUUGAUGUGCUCCUUGCUACUGUUUGCUGAUAUUUAAGAUUUUUCACUGACGCACAGCAGAUUGGUUUGCAGUUUUCUUUCUCAGUGCAGUCUUUGACAUGUCUUUGGAAUCAGUGUUCCGUUUUCCUCUUUCUCUAUCCUCUGGAGUCGUUUUAAGUAGAACGGGGACUUUUCUAUUCUUUAACGGUGAGCUAGAAUGUCCCUGGGACCUUUUGGGGCGUGUGCUUCUUCACUCCUCAUAGUUCAUCUUCCAUAACAGUUGAAGACUGUUUAAACUUUCUGCCUCAACUGGAGACUAUUUUGGCAAGCUGUAAUUCUCAAAACCAAACAUUUCCUCUUGCAGUGUGUCUCUCUUCUCACCUAAGCUGGAAGCUCUUGGAGGGCAUAUUCCAAUAACAAUUUUAGGGUACCCAUCUGGUGUCCGACAAGUCAGUUCAAUUCCAGCAAUAAUAAUAUAUUAUAUAAACCACCUGGAGUUAGACAGACCCCACCAGUAAAGGCGCUCAGUCUUAUAAUACCGCCUCCACUGCAGAUGCCAGCUCCAAGUCAGGUCCUCAGGUCUACCUGAAAUUCUGACCAACUGCCUUUCCUGCAGCAUCCGCAGGUUCUGUAACUCCCCUUCAGUUCUGGUAUUUUUCUAGAACUACUCACAGAAUUCCUUGAAAGCACUACACUUAUUGGUACUGUUCUGUUCUAAAGAAUAUGCCCACAUGAAAGAUGGAGCUGGGCUCAGAACUUCCGUGCCUUCUGCAGGCGCCGCCACCCCCUCCCCCAGCACACCCAUGCCCACACCCCGGAAGCUCUGCCAGCCUCCUCCUUACAGCGUUUUUAUCUGGACGUGCCUUACGGAGGCUCAGUUGCAUCGCCGGCCACAGGAUUCCCAUCUCUCAGGAAACUCUCUGGGUGUCAGGAGCUCUGUGCCAAGAACUUGGGACAAAGACCAGGAACCUUUAUUUUAUGAGACCCCUGGGAGAAUACUGUGCAUUUCUUCAGUGCCCCGCUCGAGUUAUGCCUAGGUGUAGGUAGGUGUACAAUCUUUAUCUAUUAAGUUAUUGGAUACAAGAGUGACUGAACUGUAUUUGUUCCAGUUAGUAAGGCUGUGCUUUCUUUCGGGAAGGAAAGCCAACCUGGCCUCUGGGCCUGUUACUUGGUAAUGCUAAUGCGUUACAUUCCCUUCAGCCCCCCCACCCCCACCCCCCGCCCUGAAAGUGCCGGCUGCCCAAAGCCUUGCAGUCCAAAGACCUGAAAUCCUGAUUUUAAAAAUGCCAGUGUGAUCUUUUGAUCAAAGCUUUCCUUGUAGGGUAUCAAGUCUCCCCUUACCUGAAUGCAUGAAUCUUGAGUUGCCUCAAGUAGGAGAAUCUCUGAGAGAUGGUCCAAACAUCAGUUUUCUUCGUUGCUUUUUUAAUGACACAGGUACAUUUUGAGAGUUUUUAAUUGCAUUUCCCCUAAAGGUUGUAAAGUGUGUGUGUGUGUGUGUGUGUGUGUGUGUGUGUGUGUGUGUUUAAUCUCUCACACAUCCUGGUGGGAAACGUUCAAGUGCUCAGAUGGAACUACUUGAGACUAGCAACC
RNAcentral lists this long non-coding RNA (3118 nucleotides) under Sus scrofa (pig). RNAcentral's name for it is "lncRNA (ENSSSCG00055008934.1)". Lineage: Eukaryota; Metazoa; Chordata; Mammalia; Artiodactyla; Suidae. The record is from RNAcentral.